UGAAUACGAGACGCUAAGGCGUCGAAGUAGUGUAUGUCAUACUUCCAAGUAAAGCUUGCACUGUCAUAGAUAAAAAACGCCUGUACCAUAACCGACACAGGUGGGUAGGUAGAGUAUACUAAGGGGCGCGAGAUAACUCUCUCUAAGGAACUCGGCAAAAUAACUCCGUAACUUCGGGAGAAGGAGUGCCUUAUUCUUAAGGUUGCAAUAACAAGAUCCAAGCAACUGUUUAUCAAAAACACAGGUCUCCGCUAAGUCGUAAGACGAUGUAUGGGGGCUGACGCCUGCCCAGUGCCAGAAGGUUAAAUAAGCUGGUUAGCAUUUGCGAAGCUAGUAACUGAAGCCCUGGUGAACGGCGGCCGUAACAAUAACGGUCCUAAGGUAGCGAAAUUCCUUGUCGGGUAAGUUCCGACCCGCACGAAAGGCGUAAUGAUUUGGAUACUGUCUCGGAGAGGGGCUCGGUGAAAUAGACUUGUCUGUGAAGAUGCGGACUACCUGCACCAGGACAGAAAGACCCUAUGAAGCUUUACCGUAACUUGAAAUUGAAAUUGGACUUUAUUCGCGCAGUAUAGGUGGGAGGCGUUGAUUAUAAUCUUGCGGGAUUAUUGGAGCCAUUAGUGAGAUACCACUCUUGUAAUGUUAGAUUUCUAACUUUGAAUCAUUAUCUGGUCAAAGAACAGUUUCAGGCGGGCAGUUUGACUGGGGCGGUCGCCUCCCAAACGGUAACGGAGGCGUACAAAGGUUUCCUCUGAACGGUUAGAAAUCGUAUCUAGAGUGUAAAGGCAUAAGGAAGCUUGACUGUGAGACCUACAAGUCGAGCAGGGACGAAAGUCGGUCUUAGUGAUCUGACGGUACUGAGUGGAAAGGCCGUCACUCAACGGAUAAAAGUUACUCUAAGGAUAACAGGCUGAUCUCCCCCAAGAGCUCACAUCGACGGGGAGGUUUGGCACCUCGAUGUCGGCUCAUCGCAUCCUGGGGCGGUAGUACGUCCCAAGGGUUGGGCUGUUCGCCCAUGAAAGCGGUACGCGAGCUGGGUUCAGAACGUCGUGAGACAGUUCGGUCCAUAUCCGGUGUAGGCGUUAGAAUAUUGAGAGGAGCCUUCUUUAGUACGAGAGGACCGAGAAGGACAUACCUCUGGUGUACCAGUUAUCGUGCCAACGGUAGACGCUGGGUAGCUAUGUAUGGAGUGGAUAACCGCUGAAAGCAUCUAAGUGGGAAGCCCACCUCAAGAUAAG
This 1235-nucleotide ribosomal RNA is filed under the name metagenome. RNAcentral describes it as "bacterial LSU rRNA". It matches the Rfam family "Bacterial large subunit ribosomal RNA", at positions 1564 to 2808 of the family's 2925-position model. The record is from RNAcentral.